UUUCGGAUUAUUUCACCAAUUCGGUUCACUGUCUGUAUUUUUUUUUGUUGACAGAUCACCCAUAUUGAAGGAAAAAAAUCAAUUUCAAUAUUGUGGACACAAUAAUAUCCAGGAAACUGUCAGAGAUAAAAAAAUAGUGUAAAUGAAGAAAGAUUUUUUGUCACACAAAAGAACAACUGUUGAUUUAAAUGAUAACAUUUAAAUUCCGCUAAAAGUCACUAGGAAACAUUAGAAUCCUCUAUGAAUUAUUCCAAAAUGCACAAGUUUGAUAUAUUCCUGAAAUAUUUAAAAUUACAUUUAACAAAUAAAUAUUUUAGCAUUUUAUUAAUAAAAUUCACUAAAGAUUAAUUCGAUUCACGAUAUAUUAUGAACUUGAUUAUCUUGUAACUGCGAUAUCCAAGAUGAAUAAAUAAUUCUAUACUAUUUAAUCAUCAUAUCUGUUAAUCUUCAUAUUCCGUUGGUUAAUCUCGACUACUAUAUUAAUCAUUCGCACAUUUUCACAUUCUCACGAAUUCUCGAAAAAAGACACUCGAAAUCAAGCAAUUUACGAUAUUCGAUACUCCUGAUAUUGAAGGAAACCAGAGUUUAUUUUAUUGCGAGGCUUCACGUUUCCAACUUUAUCACUUUCCAAGUGUUAUAAUUCAUUGGACUUGAACAGCUGCAGAAACAGAUACAUAUCCAGCGACACGAUCAUUAAGCAAGCUGGUAAAUUAGAAAGCAUGUAGCGCCACCAUUUUGGAGGUUAGUUCUUGUUUUGUCAUUUGUGGAACACGUAGCGCCGUUCUCGAACUUGUGUCACACCGCAGUUUAAAUCACGGGAUGUGGAUUAGCAUAACGAGUAAGCACGGCGCAUAAUGCACAAUGAUAAUUUGCGUUCAACUUCCCGUGCAAUUUAGAUAUCAGAUUGCUAAAGGGGCGUUCUAUUAAACUGGACACAGGAAAUAUCACCUGAUAGAUGAUGAAAAAGUAGAUUUACGAGAUGGCUUGCUGUAUUGUAUGAUGCAUAAUAAUGAGGUUAUGUUGAAAUUGCUCGAUAUUCGAUCAUUUAUCUUCAAAUCUGAUCAAUUCGUAAAUUCACGAAAAUAAGUAUUCUAUAAUAACGUUUUCAAUGCCUAAAAAGUUACUAAAGAGUUCUAUAAAUUUUUUCAAAACGUAAAAUUUGAUAUUCUAUAUCCAAAAAAAAUUUGCAGUACAUAUUUAAUUAUUUGUAUAAUGUAUAAUAUUUAAAUUGCAAUUUUUGAAAUAUAACUUUAAAAUCUGUACAUCUUUUGAAACUUGAAGAUAUUUAAUGCUUUAAUGUGUUAAAUCGAAAGAAUCGUUUAUGUAUAUUUUUAAAAUCACACGUGUAUUAUCUUGGGAAACGAUGGAUCGAAUCGAUAUUAUUCAUUGCAUGACUCAAACUUCUUUUAUAUUAUGUUUUUCAUAUCAAUCCAAGUAUGACGAACAACAGAGACCAACCGUGGAAUCGACUGAAUAAAUUUUAAUUUUCCAACCCGCCAGCUUAUUCACGUACGUAGAUAACAAAGUUAAAUUAACUAGGCAGCCAUUCUUCCACGUAUUCACGAUUGUUUCUCUUGUAUAUUAGUUCUUUCAAAGUUAAUCAUUCUUUUGUUUAAUUAUUCGUAAUGAAUCGACAAUAAAAUGAAAUAUCAUUCUUUGUCCAAGCUUCUUUGUACCACAUUUUUCGUUCAAAUAUAUAUUGUAACUUUUCCUUUGCCUUAUUCAUGAAUCAAUUUCGUAUUUUAAAGUGACGUUGAAUCAGCAGCACCGUGCUAUGACAGGUUGGAACUUCUUUGGGUUAUUCGCAAUGUUGUAAUGUUGUUGGACGGAUGUUUGGUGCAGCAGGUAACGAGAUCAACAGGAUAACAACAUGCGACAUGUUUGAUCAUUACUAUCGAAAAAGGAUAUUUCCAGUGAAACGGGAAAUUCUAAUUCUAAAAUAAUUUUUCCAUUUUCCAUUAUUAUAAAAAAAAUUCAUUUAAUUUAACAUCUCAAUCCUAUUAUCUUUAAUAAAUAUCGAUAUUUUAUAUUUGCAGAAUUAUAUACGUUUCCAGAUUUAUAUUGCUGUAUAUACUGUCGCGAUAACAUAAUGCCUCAGCCAUGGGAGGUGUUCGAGUGGCCCUAAGAGCUUUGGGAUUCGGGGCCACCGUAAAUGAUAUUCGUUUCAGAAUAUCAAACUGGUGUGUAACAUUCGUGCCAAGAGAAUUACUCGAGUAUUCUUAAUAACAGAAAACAAUGGUUAAUAACGAAACAUUGGGAUCAGGAUAUAUUUUAAUUAAUAACCUGUGAUCGACAUAUGGUAACCGAUAACUGUAUCGAAUAGAAAAAUAAAAUUUAUGGAUAUUCUUUGAAUUAUAAAUUCUUUGAAAUUUAAAAAUGGAAAUAUCAACUAAAGAUUUCUUCCUUUGCAACAAUUUUCCACGAUAUGAAAGAAGAUGGAAAGGGAUGAUCGAUACGUAAGAUCCAAUGCAAAUCUAAUACAACAUCGAACAGAUAGGGGGAUUACAAUUAAGCCGAAUUACAAAUGCCACAAACCUAUUGAAAUUUUGAAAAGAGAGGAUCGAAACUAAUAACGUUGAAACCAGAGUUUUGGAAUUUUUUAGAGAGAAAUCGUUACGCGAUUCUUGUUAUUAUUUUUCGAUGAAGAAAUGAAAAGAAAAAUUCCACGAUAAUAAAAUUGAACAAUGAGAAGGAAAGGAGUUGAAUUAAUGCCUAAUGGGGAGCACGAUUGUCGUGUGAUUAAAAUAUAAAUGGGAAAAGGUCAACAGUGCGCGCAGGAUUUGUAUUGUGUUUCGCGUAAAUGAAAACGAAUAAUUCAUUAACGUUCACAACA
Molecule: long non-coding RNA, 2833 nt
Filed under: Apis mellifera (honey bee)
Lineage: Eukaryota; Metazoa; Arthropoda; Insecta; Hymenoptera; Apidae
Description: uncharacterized LOC113219299, transcript variant X1
Source: RNAcentral